CACGUAGGAGGCGAGCGUUGUCCGGAAUCACUGGGCGUAAAGCGCGUGUAGGCGGGAGCGGCAGUCUGUGGUGAAAGCGCCUGGCUUAACCGGGCGAGGUCCAUGGAAACUCUGCUCCUGGAGGCCGGUAGAGGGGGGUGGAAUUCCGGGUGUAGUGGUGAAAUGCGUAGAGAUCCGGAGGAACACCCGUGGCGUAGGCGGCCCCCUGGGCCGCGCCUGACGCUGAGACGCGAAAGCGCGGGGAGCGAACGGG
This 253-nucleotide ribosomal RNA is filed under the name uncultured bacterium. RNAcentral describes it as "partial 16S ribosomal RNA". It matches the Rfam family "Bacterial small subunit ribosomal RNA", at positions 524 to 776 of the family's 1533-position model. The record is from RNAcentral.